Bacteroidetes bacterium GWF2_35_48 is the source of this 46-nucleotide non-coding RNA. NCBI's taxonomy places the organism in Bacteria, Pseudomonadati, Bacteroidota. The record is from Rfam.
GAACCGGCUGUAUUAACAGCCACUAUUUCUGCUUCUGAUGUUCUAU